AUACUUACCUGGCACAGGAGUGACUUUGAUCAAGAAGGAAUGUCCUCCCAAGGUGAGGCCUCGGCAUUGCACUUGGCUGAGAUUGACCCUUGCGAUUCCCCCAAAUGUGGGGAACUCGGGUGUAUAAUUUAUGGUAGCGGGAGACUGCGUUCGCGCUAACCCCUA
RNAcentral lists this small nuclear RNA (165 nucleotides) under Anneissia japonica. RNAcentral's name for it is "U1 spliceosomal RNA". It matches the Rfam family "U1 spliceosomal RNA". From Rfam's summary of the family: U1 is a small nuclear RNA (snRNA) component of the spliceosome (involved in pre-mRNA splicing). Lineage: Eukaryota; Metazoa; Echinodermata; Crinoidea; Comatulida; Comatulidae. The record is from RNAcentral.